UGAUUGAAGAACCUAUGGACAUUUGAUCA
This 29-nucleotide non-coding RNA is filed under the name Mus musculus (house mouse). Lineage: Eukaryota; Metazoa; Chordata; Mammalia; Rodentia; Muridae. The record is from RNAcentral.